UCUCCCCUCUCUUACUUUUCUCUCUCCUCUCGCCUUCGUUUCUACUUUCUAGGGUUAGAGUUCCUAGGUUUCACUUCCGAUCCUCGCCGUCGUCCCUCACCAAAUCGCCUCCUAAUCGCCUUCAUCCUCAUUCGCUUCCCGUCGUCGGCCUUCCACCGCUUCCCGUCGUCGACCUUCAAUCGCUUCCCAACGUCGGUCUUCCAUCGCUUCCCGUCGAGUAUUUAGGCGAUAAUUUGAAGGAGAUCAAGUAUGAUGCAGCAACCGAAGUCGCAGCGGACGUUCUCUCAAGGAUUUCCGUCACAGAAGAACGGAGUUUUCUCUCAAAUCUCCCAGAACUCCAUUGACGCGAUCCUCACUGACAUCAGCAGCAAUUGAGGGGCAGGAGGCAAGUGUAGUUACUGAAUACAUUCUCAAGUUUCAGUUGAAUGUGUGAGCGUGUGUAAAUUAAAGCUAUGGAGAGGAGAAGGGAGUAGUGGAAGGUAUGAUUAUAGUGUAUUUUUGUGUGCCUGGAAGGCACCUAGGACUCUUACUGGUUCAUUUAAUUGAUUUGAUUUUGAUUUAUUCCACUAAAUUGAUUGAUGAAGCAGUUUCGAAGAUGGCAGAGGAUCUUCAUCCUCUUUCUUCUCUAACUUCCUGUAUUUUCUCCUCUGGGUGGGGAUUCAACGGUGCAGGGUUCGAGGACGAGUGACGGCAAGGUGGAGUCUGGAUCAGAAAGAAGAGAUUAGUAUUAUUAACUGUAUUCUGCUUUGUGAUUUGAUGAUUUGAUGAUUUGAUGAUGAUUAUGAUAUAUGGGAGAAUUGUUAAUGAUGUUACUGAUUUUGCAUUUGUAGGAACUCAACAACAAUCAAUGUUUGUAUUGGGUCAUUUUCCUAGAGGUAUGCCUGAUUUUAGAAGUGUCGAAUUUCUAUUUACCUUUGGCUGUUUGUUUUCAUGCUGGUUGUUCCACGCUGUUGUUUCUGCAAUAUUGCUUUUUGUUUUGGGGGAAUUCAUACAAUCGAACCUGUUACUGAAGAUGACUGGGAGGUUGUUGAGCUCAACGCUCAGAGUGCAGAGGCUGCUAUAUAUCUUGAAUCGGGUUUUUUCUCCCUUUGGUUGUUUUUCCUGGUUCUUUUGAUAAUAAAUAAUAGGUUUCUUAUUAAAAAGUAGGUUUUUUCACAGAUUGUGUGGUUCAAGUUGUUAUGGUUUUGGGUUUUAUGAAUGAUCACUGAUACCCUAAUACUAAUAGGCAUGUUUUCUCUCAAUAAAUCAAACAGUUAUAUAUAUAAAAAAAAACUUUGCCAUGUGAUUCAUUUCACCAUUUUUAAAUUUUUAUACGUGAGGGCCAAUUGGGAUUGUGGGGAAUAUACCACUUGAAGAAGUGGAAGCAGAGGAUCUUUGUGGAUGACCAUUAGAGAGAAAAUAUUGGUUCAUGCAAGACUUGCUCCUAUUGGAUUAAGGCUUUGGCACUGUCGUUGAAAAGUAAGGGCUUGCAUUUUUGUCUCUUUUGCUUGGUUGUUGAACAAUUUUCCCAAUCACUGUGAUUUUUCACAUUCAUAUCAACUGUGUCUUAGGAAAUGGGAGUUAUUUUUGUUAGUGUUGGUAUUCUGGGUUGUAAUUUGAUUGCAAUUUAGGAAAUUAGUUUUAAUUUUGGAGCUCAUUGAUGCAUUGUUUGCGUGCAUAAAAUCUCAAGUAAAUUGCAUUCUUGCAUCCACUAAUUAUAUAUCAGCUUGCUUUUUUUUUUCUUUCACCACUAUAACACUUCCUAGAGGAGACAUUUCAGUUACAGAAGUUUAUAGUCGCAACAGGACAGAAGAUGAUAGAAGUACAGUCCAAAAUAGCUGCUGGUUUUGUUGUUGAGAUCACGAAUGAGCUUGACGGACCAUCUAAGUAGUGACUUCAGAAAACCUGAACAAAAACUCAGGUUUCUUUUUGAUAUUUUGUAUAUUCUGUGUUUCAGUCAAUUGGUGCAAGAAAUAGAUGGAUUAUAUUAUCUGGUGACAUUGUAAAUAAACUCCAAAAAUAAAGAAGUAUGAUGUUUGUUUGAUACUGCUAAAGAUCAGA
Molecule: long non-coding RNA, 2040 nt
Organism: Spinacia oleracea (spinach)
Lineage: Eukaryota; Viridiplantae; Streptophyta; Magnoliopsida; Caryophyllales; Amaranthaceae
Exons: 3
Source: RefSeq, a predicted model, not a curated record